RNAcentral lists this unclassified non-coding RNA (429 nucleotides) under soil metagenome. Its description in RNAcentral is "partial contains 5.8S ribosomal RNA, internal transcribed spacer 2, and large subunit ribosomal RNA". The stretch from base 1 to 120 matches the Rfam family "5.8S ribosomal RNA", at positions 35 to 154 of the family's 154-position model. The record is from RNAcentral.
GAUGAAGAACGUAGCGAAACGCGAUACGUAAUGUGAAUUGCAGAAUUCAGUGAAUCAUCGAAUCUUUGAACGCACCUUGCGCCCCUCGGCAUUCCGAGGGGCAUGCCUGUUUGAGUGUCACGGAUCCUUCGAACCCCGCCGGUCUCCGACGAGCCGGCCGCCUGGGUUCGGUCCUGGGCGCUACGCCACCCCUCCGGGGCUGGCUCGCCUCAAAAGCAUCAGCUGGGCCUCGCGGCGUGGGCGGGCUCCGAUCGGCGUGAUAAGUCAUCUGCCGAGAGGGUGCCCGUCCGUCCCGCGGAUCGCGGUCCGCUCCCAACCCCUCCCCGCGCGCCGUCCCCCCCCCGGGGAGCGCGCGGGGACGUUUCGACGCUCUGGCCUCAAAUCAGGUAGGACCACCCGCUGAACUUAAGCAUAUCAAUAAGCGGAGGA